Molecule: long non-coding RNA, 1634 nt
Organism: Chinchilla lanigera (long-tailed chinchilla)
Lineage: Eukaryota; Metazoa; Chordata; Mammalia; Rodentia; Chinchillidae
Exons: 4
Source: RefSeq, a predicted model, not a curated record
GUUGCUAAGUUGCCCAGGCUGGGAUUACAUUUACAAUCCUCCUGCCUCAGCUUCCCAGGGUGCUGGGAUUGCAGGCUCCAGGGCGCCAAGAGUCAUCUUGCAAUAGUGGUGUAUGAUGGCGUCUGUAUGGAGGACUGUGGUGAGGAGUACAAGUCAUGACAGCCCACCCGCUUUCGCAGAGGUGCUCACAACCACACGAGACUGUCCCUGGGCUGGGGAGGAGAUUCUUUUCAAGACUUUAAACCAUCGAGAAACCUUAAGCCUGGCAUUAAAAUCAUGUUGCGAACUGAGUCUCAGGAGCCGAGUAACGUGUCCAACUUUAACAGUGAACAAGCACUCGAGGCAAGGCUUCAUCCAGAUCUGUCUAACUGUGCAGCCCGCAGUCAGCCUCGCCGGCAGAAAUCUUAGAGAUAACUUCCGACUUUGCUGCCCUUGCUGACUCUUCUUUUACAUAGGAAGAAGUGCGUUCCAAAGACCCUUGAGAGUGAAGGCGAUUCUUUAGGGCUGAGUGUGCUAGGGAGAUGACCUGAAAGCUGGCUCAACAAGCCAAAUCUCAUGGGCCCCAGAUUCUGUAAGGAAAAGGCCCAGAGCUCUAGCACCUAGCACACUGGAUGGGUAAAUAGAAAGCUGGGCAUCUGGUUCAGGCUUGGAUGCCAUUGAUGUCCAUGUUUUGGUCUUUAAUUGAUGGACUAAUCAAUCAGACUAUUCACUUAAGAAUAAGUCAGUUUAUUCACAGAAAUUAUUUCUCUUGCCGAACAUUGGAGAAAUAGAACAGAGAAAUAAUCUCGCCCAUCACCAUCACAAGGCUUGGCCCUGAGAAUCUGGACAUCAGACUUAAUGUCUUUCUGAAGACUCUUUAAAGAGUGACGACACAUUCCAGCAGUGAUCCCCCCAAAACGGCCCAUUUUCAUGGAUCUCCUGGAUGAAGCAACAUAAAUUACAACUGAAUCCGUAGUUCAGCCUUUAAUCUCCUUUCAAUCAUUUGUUCCACCUCCUACCCUGGAAUGUCAGGAAGCCCAAUGGUCAGGGAGUGAUGGGUCUCAUGUCUCCUCAUCCCCAGCCCCACCCGCAGCCCUAGCCGCUCUCCACAAACUGCCUGACUGCAUGUGGGAGGGGCGGGGGAGAGGAGCGAAACAGGGGCUCUGUAUAAUUCUUCCUGAAAACGUCGGACCCUGGAUGCAUUUUUGGGUGCAGGUGCAGAGGAAAUGGUCUUUAAAGGAUGACAAACUACUAGACACAUGGUUAACAUGAAGCCAGCCAACCUCUCAUGCUCAGAUCUCCAUCCCAGUUCCAUCCGGGGCUGGAGUUGAAUCCUUUACAGGAGAAAGGAAAGCACCCUCCUCCCUUCACUGCAAGGGUUGCCGUGUGUCUGCUUGCUCUUGCUGUCCGUCCUGCUGUUUCUGGCUCAGGACCGUGUGCUCCAGGCCGCGCAGGGUCUCUAACCCACGCCGUGACAGUCCUCACACCAGCUCCGGACGCGGACACAGCCCGUGUGAAACCGCACUCUGCUGACUCCCAGGUGCAAGCCAAAUUCCUUCACCUCCCUGAGCCUGCAUUUCCUCACUUGCCAAAUGGGACUAUUAAUACCAACCUCUUCAGGUUGUUACGAGGAUUAAAUGAAAUAAAAUAUAUAA